AUGAUGAACGGUUCAGCUGGUUCCCCGGGGAAUCACGUGAAUGGAAAGCAAGUGCAAAGUGUUGACCCUCCCGGUCUUUCAAGUUUUAACAAUGGACCAAGACACCGUCCGUUGAAUGCAUGGAGGCGCUGCCGUGGUGUAUUGUGCUUGGUGAUUAUGCCGGUGACAGCAUGCAUGAUGAUGGUUUACCUAGCCCCUGUGACAACCUUCGUCGUACGGUUGUUCAGUGUGCAUUACAGCAGAAAGUGGACGUGCUUUCUGUUUGGGAUGUGGUUAGCCAUGUUUCCCUUUUUGUUUGAGAAGAUCAACAGGACAAGGUUUGUUUUCUCUGGUGAAAAGGUGCCCCCAAAAGAGUGUGUCUUGCUGUUUGCUAACCACAGAACUGAGGUAGAUUGGAUGUACCUGUGGGAUCUUGCAUUGAGGAAAGGCCGUUUGCAGUCUAUCAAGUACAUCCUCAAGAAAAGUUUGAUGAAGUUGCCUAUUUUCAACUGGGCAUUUCACAUUAUUGAGUUUAUUCCAGUAGAGCGGAAUUGGGAGGUUGACGAACCACUAAUCCGAAGAAGGCUUUCUCAACUGAAGUACCCCAAGGAUCCCCUUUGGCUUGCAGUUUUUCCAGAAGGCACUGAUUAUACCGAGAAGAAAUGCAUCAAAAGUCAAGAGUAUGCGGCAGAGCAUGGUUUGCCUAUUCUGAAAAAUGUCCUCCUUCCCAAGAUAAAGGGUUUCAAUUGCUGCCUGCAAGAGCUGAGGAGUAACUUGGAUGCUGUUUACGACAUCACGAUCGCAUACAAGCAUCGGCUCCCGACGUUCAUGGACAACGUGUACGGCAUCGACCCCUCUGAGGUCCACGUCCACACCAAGAUCAUCCAGGUCUGUGACAUACCAACAGCAGAGGACGAAGUAUCCAGCUGGCUCACGGAGAGGUUCAGACUGAAGGACGAGCUCCUGUCUGAUUUUUUGGCACAAGGCCACUUCCCCAAUGAAGGAACCGAAGAAGACCUGUCCACGCUCAAGUGCGUCGCGAAUUUCCUUGCGGUGAUCGGCAUGACGGCCUUCUUCAUCUACCUGACCCUGUUCUCGUCCGUGUGGUUCAGGGUCUUCGCGGCGUGCAGCGCCUCUUUCCUCACGUUUGCCACGGUGUACUCUAUACACGCGCCUCAGAUCGUGUGUUUGCCGGAGGCCGGCGCCCACGCCAAGAAAGCUUGA
RNAcentral lists this ribosomal RNA (1203 nucleotides) under Triticum aestivum (bread wheat). RNAcentral's name for it is "partial small subunit ribosomal RNA". The record is from RNAcentral. Lineage: Eukaryota; Viridiplantae; Streptophyta; Magnoliopsida; Poales; Poaceae.